Molecule: non-coding RNA, 79 nt
Organism: Peniophora sp. CONT
Lineage: Eukaryota; Fungi; Basidiomycota; Agaricomycetes; Russulales; Peniophoraceae
Source: Rfam
GGCCGCCUGGCGAAAUGGCAUCGCGUCUGACUACGAUUGUGUAAUCAGGAGAUUGCAGGUUCGACCCCUGCGGUGGUCA